UAGUUAUUGUGAUAUUGGCCUGGUUCACUCAGACCGAAUGAUAACCACAUUUGUGUGUUUGUUUUUGGUUUGAUUGAGCCGUGCCAAUAUCUCACUACUAUUU
This 103-nucleotide microRNA precursor is filed under the name Trifolium pratense (red clover). The record is from RNAcentral. Lineage: Eukaryota; Viridiplantae; Streptophyta; Magnoliopsida; Fabales; Fabaceae.